RNAcentral lists this long non-coding RNA (1216 nucleotides) under Bemisia tabaci. Its description in RNAcentral is "lncRNA ENSSSA1NGG004825". The record is from RNAcentral. Lineage: Eukaryota; Metazoa; Arthropoda; Insecta; Hemiptera; Aleyrodidae.
CAAGAAUUUUUUGUUCAAGAAAUCAAAAAAAUUAUCAUUUUUUCCCAUGAUUUUAUCUCAGAUAAGUCAACCCUAAACAAUUUAUGUUUUUCAGAUUCCUCAAUCAUGGAAUUGGAGUGGAAGAGCUCUAAAUUAACAGCAGGAGAGGAUCUAAUGGAGAAAAUGAUGAUAGCUCGUCUAUUUCGAGUUUAAGCUCCAAAGAACUUUAAUCAAUCAAGAUUUCCACGCUAGUCCAUUAAGAUUUUUUGUCAUUUUGUUCUACUGCCUUUUAUCUUUUUCGCAGGUUGUCAUCAAUAACACAUGGGGUCCAAUAGCAGACUCAGUUUUAUUCGCAUUCCCAGAGUGGAAGCCAAACGUCAUCACCUUGCUCGCAAACUGGAAUAGUUUGACAGUGCUUGUCUUCAUCUUUCCUGCAGUCUGGUUUCUAAACAAAAAAGGUUUGCGCUUUUCCUUCAUGGUUGCAAGUGGACUUAGCUGCGCAGGAGCUGCUUUGAGAUGUUUGCCAGUUCCCUCUCAUAUUUUUGUGUGGCUGUUGCAUGUGUGUGCAGUCCUUAAUGCUGUUGCUGGAAUUCUGCUCGGACCAUCGAUUGUCAUGCUCUCAUCUCUAUGGUUUCCUCCAAAUGAAAGAACCACAGCAACAGGAAUUGGAACAGCUUUCAGUUUACUGGGAAUAGCUGGUAGUUAUUCUCUAGGUCCACUCAUAGUCCACACUGAACCACCCAAUCCAGAAUUGAACAAUCUUUUGAAAUCAUUUCCGCAAGAGAAUGUUGCAGAGACUGGUUGCAUCGAUUAUUUACGCUCAGCUAUUCGACGAGAAAUAAAACAGUACAUGUUCAUUUGUAAGUUUCUGUUUUGGAUUUGAGGCACUGUUUGUUGAUUGGAACUCUUUUAUUAUUCCCUGAAAAACCAUUCAAUCCCUGUAGCAGAGCAUCAUGCAUCUCAUUAGUUUGCAAAUACAGUUUCAAAGAUUCAUUUCGAAGUAUAAUCAGGUAUGUAUUCGAAUUCCAUUCAUUCCUUUUGAUCAUUAAAUCAAGGGUAUGCCAUUGAUAACCAGCAAUCUUUUUCAGCUCUAUGAAGAAUAUCAACUUGUUUUUAUGAGACAUUUCAAAUGUUAGUUUUACAUGCAGAGGUCAUGAAUUUCCAUCCGGCAUGUCAGUUUAAUUGUUGCUUUUCUCUUUACUUUCCAGAAAUCGUAGCAUUUGGGCUUUGUGCAUAU